GUGCCAGCAGCCGCGGUAAUACGUAGGUGACAAGCGUUAUCCGGAAUUACUGGGCGUAAAGCGCACGCAGGCGGCGCGGUAAGUCUGAUGUGAAAUCUCCCGGCUUAACUGGGAGGGGUCAUUGGAAACUGCCGAGCUUGAGGCGGUGAGAGGGGUGUAGAAUUCCCGGUGUAGUGGUGGAAUGCGUAGAUAUCGGGAGGAAUACCAGUGGCGAAAGCGACACCCUGGCACUAGCCUGACGCUCAUGUGCGAAGGCGUGGGGAGCGAACGGGAUUAGAUACCCUUGUAGUCC
RNAcentral lists this ribosomal RNA (292 nucleotides) under uncultured bacterium. Its description in RNAcentral is "partial 16S ribosomal RNA". It matches the Rfam family "Bacterial small subunit ribosomal RNA", at positions 505 to 796 of the family's 1533-position model. The record is from RNAcentral.